RNAcentral lists this ribosomal RNA (467 nucleotides) under uncultured bacterium. RNAcentral's name for it is "partial 16S ribosomal RNA". It matches the Rfam family "Bacterial small subunit ribosomal RNA", at positions 28 to 506 of the family's 1533-position model. The record is from RNAcentral.
GACGAACGUUGGCGGCGUGCUUAACACAUGCAAGUCGAACGGAAAGGCCCUGCUUUUGUGGGGUGCUCGAGUGGCGAACGGGUGAGUAACACGUGAGUAACCUGCCCUUGACUUUGGGAUAACUUCAGGAAACUGGGGCUAAUACCGGAUAGGAGCUCCUGCUGCAUCGUGGGGGUUGGAAAGUUUCGGCGGUUGGGGAUGGACUCGCGGCUUAUCAGCUUGUUGGUGGGGUAGUGGCUUACCAAGGCUUUGACGGGUAGCCGGCCUGAGAGGGUGACCGGCCACAUUGGGACUGAGAUACGGCCCAGACUCCUACGGGAGGCAGCAGUGGGGAAUAUUGCACAAUGGGCGGAAGCCUGAUGCAGCAACGCCGCGUGCGGGAUGACGGCCUUCGGGUUGUAAACCGCUUUCGCCUGUGACGAAGCGUGAGUGACGGUAAUGGGUAAAGAAGCACCGGCUAACUACGU